RNAcentral lists this non-coding RNA (18 nucleotides) under Sclerotinia sclerotiorum. Lineage: Eukaryota; Fungi; Ascomycota; Leotiomycetes; Helotiales; Sclerotiniaceae. The record is from RNAcentral.
UGAUUUAACUUCCGCGAA